RNAcentral lists this long non-coding RNA (550 nucleotides) under Scleropages formosus (Asian bonytongue). Its description in RNAcentral is "lncRNA (ENSSFOG00015032462.1)". Lineage: Eukaryota; Metazoa; Chordata; Actinopteri; Osteoglossiformes; Osteoglossidae. The record is from RNAcentral.
GCGUAGCGGUCUGGUUGGUGUGUAGCGGUUGACCAGUCUAGUAGUAGAUAGCUGGGAGCAGUUCUAUUGAUGCGUUUGUAGCCUAGGUUAUAACCAGGGACUGAACCAGGCUAUUAUUAAAAAUAUUGCAGUUGAAAUUACGUACAACGGUACUCGCACCAUUUUAUAUUUCAAGAGGUAUUAUGCUGAUCAAACCGACAUACUUCGGUUCUUCCUAAAUUCAGAUUUAUCGGAAGUUUGUCGAUACAAAAAGCGAAGGACGAGCGCCACCUGAUGCGAGUGUUCGUAAUUACAACGUGUACUAUGUGAAUGUACAGGGCUGCAGCCAAUCAGAGCGGCACUACAGAAUCUGUAAACAACACAACUUGCGCGACUUCGGAAGGCGCUGGAGCGCGAGGGUGUCGGGAUGUGCGCGCGGUCCUCACCACUGCUCACAGGGUAUACAUUGUGCCUUUGGACCCAAAGAUUGCAGGUUUGGAUCUCACCUGUGGCUGUAGUACCCAUAAGCAAGGUACUUACCCUAAAUUGCUCCGGUAAAAUUAUUCAGCUG